Molecule: long non-coding RNA, 1707 nt
Organism: Parasteatoda tepidariorum (common house spider)
Lineage: Eukaryota; Metazoa; Arthropoda; Arachnida; Araneae; Theridiidae
Source: RefSeq, a predicted model, not a curated record
AAGUAAUUCAUCUUUGUAAUGAGCAUACAAGCCUUCAUGAGUAUUCGUAACUGUAAAUAAAUAAAUAAACGUAUGCAACCUAGCUUGCUCCAAACAAAGUAGAGUUUGCUUGUACAUGAAUAGUUCUUGCCCCGGCAAGAAAAGUGACACAAGUUAAAAAUCAGCAAUUUUGAGUUUACGUCAAUAAAAGAUUUGUAUGUAGUGCCUCAUCAAGCUCAAAAGCCCCAAGAAGCUCUCUAACACGCAAUUUAUUCAGCUGAGGACAGUUGUGUCAGUUUUUUGUCUAAUUCCGAAUAAGUUCAAUUUCUCUCUUCAUAUACAACUAGGGUUCGGUUUUAAUUGAAAUAUAUUAGUUUAGUGACAGAAAUUUCCACACCAGCUUCCAAUGACGUACCUUAACAAAUUACCUAAGAGCCACUAAUACCAAAACUGAUGUAUAAUGAAAUCAAGUGUAUCAGUCGAUCCAUGAUAAAACAAUCAGUUUGAAAUUUGAGAACCAGAGUUCCAGAGAGAGGAUUGAUUAUCUUAAAGACUUUACAGAUAUGCCGCCACUGUAUGUAUCCACUGCUUUGCUUUAAUCCUAUCCCAAGGAAAGAUUCUCUAAUUUGAUUUGAACCUGUCUCGUUUGUUUAAAUAAUGAAUUCACUAGCUGCGUGCUGCUGGCUUUUCUGUCAACAUCUAAACCUGAUGGUAUUGCAUACAUUAACAGGGUAUUAGAGCUUAUGUUUGAAAACAGUCAUUUUAGUUAAUUAAAAUUUAAGCAUAAAAAUGCUUUUAACCCUUGUUUAACCUGUUAUAUUUAAUUGUUUUGCUUAAAAAAACAGUGCAAUUUUAUACGAUUAAAGUAUAAAUUUGGCUUUAAAUUGAACUUUAUAACUAUUGAGCAGAAAUUAAUUCUGUGACAGUGCUUCAUAAUAUAUAUUAAAUACUCUAAGCUGUCUUAAUUUUUUAUUUAAUUAAAUAACUGCAUAAAUAAUAAUAAUAAAUUCCAAAUAACAAUUUCGUAAAACUUCAAUUUUUUUAAAUAAGAAAGAGCAAAAGUAAUUUUUUAAAUAAAAGAGAACAAAAGUGAAUUUUCAAGAAGAAAAAACUGAAUGUGUAGAUGUUUCAAAUUAAAUUUCUACUAGAACUCAAAUUUGAUUUGAACCUGACUCAUUUGUAUAAAUAAUGAUUUCUUUGAUUGUAUGUUGCUAACUUUUCAAUUAAUUUCUGGACUGGUGAAUUUGCAUGAAUUUCUUCUUUACAUGAGGGUGUUGGAAUUGCAUGGAUUAAUAAGUUAUUAGAGAUUAGGUUAGAAAACUGUUAUUGUAGUAAAUUAAACUUUUACCAUGUGUUUAUUAAUAAAAUAUGAAAUUUUUUCAAGUUGCUUAUAUAUUGUUUAGAUAUUUUGUUAAAAACAAACAGAAUUUUAUGCUAUUAAAAUUUAAAUUUGAUUUUUAUUUGAACUUUCCAGCUAAUUCUCUGAUAGUAUUAUUCAAUUUUAUAGAAAACAGCAAGUUACAUUACAAAUCUAAUUAUUACGCCUACUUAUUUGUUUGUUUAUAUAUCAAAACAGAAUUCUACCAGAAUUCUUCAAAACAGAAUUCUACCAUUUCUUGAAAAUGUUUCUACAUGCAACAAAAUAUUCAAUUGUGUCGAAAAUGGGCUAAAUAAAGCUUGUCAAACAUAACACCCUCCUUGAAAAUAAAAGUAAAUAUUGACGAAUGA